Molecule: ribosomal RNA, 1017 nt
Filed under: uncultured bacterium
Lineage: Bacteria
Description: bacterial SSU rRNA
Rfam family: Bacterial small subunit ribosomal RNA
Source: RNAcentral
UGAGGAAUAUUGGUCAAUGGGCGCGAGCCUGAACCAGCCAAGUAGCGUGAAGGAUGAAGGUCCUACGGAUUGUAAACUUCUUUUAUAAGGGAAUAAAGUCACCCACGUGUGGGUGUUUGUAUGUACCUUAUGAAUAAGCAUCGGCUAACUCCGUGCCAGCAGCCGCGGUAAUACGGAGGAUGCGAGCGUUAUCCGGAUUUAUUGGGUUUAAAGGGAGCGUAGACGGGUCGUUAAGUCAGCUGUGAAAGUUUGGGGCUCAACCUUAAAAUUGCAGUUGAUACUGGCGUCCUUGAGUACGGUUGAGGCAGGCGGAAUUCGUGGUGUAGCGGUGAAAUGCUUAGAUAUCACGAAGAACCCCGAUUGCGAAGGCAGCCUGCUAAACCGCCACUGACAUUGAGGCUCGAAAGUGUGGGUAUCAAACAGGAUUAGAUACCCUGGUAGUCCACACGGUAAACGAUGGAUACUCGCUGUUGGCGAUAGACUGUCAGCGGCUUAGCGAAAGCGUUAAGUAUCCCACCUGAGGAGUACGCCGGCAACGGUGAAACUCAAAGGAAUUGACGGGGGCCCGCACAAGCGGAGGAACAUGUGGUUUAAUUCGAUGAUACGCGAGGAACCUUACCCGGGCUUGAAUUGCAGACGAAUUGCUUGGAAACAGGCAAGCCGCAAGGCGUCUGUGAAGGUGCUGCAUGGUUGUCGUCAGCUCGUGCCGUGAGGUGUCGGCUUAAGUGCCAUAACGAGCGCAACCCUCGUGUCCAGUUACUAGCAGGUUAUGCUGAGGACUCUGGACAGACUGCCAUCGUAAGAUGUGAGGAAGGUGGGGAUGACGUCAAAUCAGCACGGCCCUUACGUCCGGGGCUACACACGUGUUACAAUGGGGGGUACAGCAGGCAGCUACCGGGCGACCGGAUGCCAAUCCCGAAAGCCUCUCUCAGUUCGGACUGGAGUCUGCAACCCGACUCCACGAAGCUGGAUUCGCUAGUAAUCGCGCAUCAGCCACGGCGCGGUGAAUACGUUCCC